GUGUCUUGGCCGUGCGGAAGAGUAUGCUUCUAUUGUGAAGGUGCCUUGGCCGUGCGGAAGAGUAUGCUUCUAUUGUGAAGGUGCCUUGGCCGUGCGGAAGAGUAUGCUUCUACCGUGAAGGUGCCUUGGCCGUGCGGAAGAGUAUGCUUCUACCGUGAAGGUGCCUUGGCCGUGCGGAAGAGUAUGCUUCUACUGUGAAGGUGUCUUGGCCGUGCGGAAGAGUAUGCUUCUAUUGUGAAGGUGUCUUGGCCG
Molecule: long non-coding RNA, 252 nt
Organism: Rhinopithecus roxellana (golden snub-nosed monkey)
Lineage: Eukaryota; Metazoa; Chordata; Mammalia; Primates; Cercopithecidae
Exons: 3
Source: RefSeq, a predicted model, not a curated record